Molecule: ribosomal RNA, 253 nt
Filed under: uncultured bacterium
Lineage: Bacteria
Description: partial 16S ribosomal RNA
Rfam family: Bacterial small subunit ribosomal RNA
Source: RNAcentral
UACGGAGGUGGCAAGCGUUGCUCGGAAUCACUGGGCGUAAGGGGCGCGUAGGCGGGGCGGUAAGUCGGGUGUGAAAUCCCUCGGCCCAACCGAGGAACUGCGCCCGAGACUGCUUCUCUUGAGUCCCGGAGAGGAAGGUGGAAUUCCCGGUGUAGCGGUGAAAUGUGUAGAGAUCGGGAGGAACACCGGUGGCGAAGGCGGCCUUCUGGACGGUGACUGACGCUGAGGCGCGAAAGCGUGGGGAGCGAACAGG